CAGUCGUGAGGAAGGUGGUGUAGUUAAUAGCUGCAUCAUUUGACGUUAGCGACAGAAGAAAGCACCGGCUAACUCCGUGCCAGCAGCCGCGGUAAUACGGAGGGUGCGAGCGUUAAUCGGAAUUACUGGGCGUAAAGCGCAUGCAGGUGGUUUGUUAAGUCAGAUGUGAAAGACCCGGGGCGUCAACCUCGGAAUAGCAUUUGUAAACUAGGCAGACUAGAGUACUGUAGAGGGGGGUAGGAAUUUCAGGUGUAGCGGUGAAAUGCGUAGAGAUCUGAAGGAAUACCGGUGGCGAAGGCGGCCCCCUCGGACAGAUACUGACACUCAGAUGCGAAAGCGUGGGGAGCAAACAGGAUUAGAUACCCUGGUAG
RNAcentral lists this ribosomal RNA (371 nucleotides) under uncultured bacterium. RNAcentral's name for it is "bacterial SSU rRNA". It matches the Rfam family "Bacterial small subunit ribosomal RNA", at positions 434 to 793 of the family's 1533-position model. The record is from RNAcentral.